UCACAGCGUGUCCCUUGACAUAUUGGCUCA
This 30-nucleotide non-coding RNA is filed under the name Rattus norvegicus (Norway rat). Lineage: Eukaryota; Metazoa; Chordata; Mammalia; Rodentia; Muridae. The record is from RNAcentral.